Molecule: ribosomal RNA, 449 nt
Filed under: uncultured bacterium
Lineage: Bacteria
Description: partial 16S ribosomal RNA
Rfam family: Bacterial small subunit ribosomal RNA
Source: RNAcentral
AACGAACGCUGGCGGCAUGCCUAACACAUGCAAGUCGAACGAGAUCUUCGGGUCUAGUGGCGCACGGGUGCGUAACGCGUGGGAAUCUGCCCUUUGGUUCGGAAUAACAGUUGGAAACGACUGCUAAUACCGGAUGAUGACGAAAGUCCAAAGAUCUAUCGCCAGAGGAUGAGCCCGCGUAUGAUUAGCUAGUUGGUGUGGUAAAGGCGCACCAAGGGGACGAUCAUUAGAUGGUCUGAGAGGAUGAUCAGCCACACUGGGACUGAGACACGGGCCAGACUCCUACGGGAGGCAGCAGUGGGGAAUAUUGGUCAAGGGGCGAAAGCCUGAUCCAGCUAUGCCGCGUGAGUGAUGAAGGCCUUAGGGUUGUAACGCUCUUUUACCCGGGAUGAUAAUGACAGUACCGGGAGAAUAAGCUCCGGCUAACUCCGUGCCAGCCGCCGCCGUAA